This 329-nucleotide ribosomal RNA is filed under the name uncultured eukaryote. RNAcentral's name for it is "partial 18S ribosomal RNA". It matches the Rfam family "Eukaryotic small subunit ribosomal RNA", at positions 1470 to 1796 of the family's 1831-position model. The record is from RNAcentral.
CCCUUAGAUGUUCUGGGCUGCACGCGCGCUACACUGAUGCGUUCAACGAGUGUAUCACCUUUUCCGAUAGGAAUGGGUAAUCUUCUGAACACGCAUCGUGAUGGGGAUAGAUUAUUGCAAUUAUUAAUCUUCAACGAGGAAUGCCUAGUAAGCGCAAGUCAUCAGCUUGCGUUGAUUACGUCCCUGCCCUUUGUACACACCGCCCGUCGCUCCUACCGAUUGAAUGGUCCGGUGAAGCGUUCGGACCGUGGCCUUUGGACGGUUCGCCGUCUGUUGGCUGCGGGAAGUUCGUUAAACCUUAUCAUUUAGAGGAAGGAGAAGUCGUAACA